UUCGGUGGCUGGGUGAUCGCUGCUGCGCGCAAGCGUGGUAGAGGAAAGUCCGAACACCCUUCCCGAAGGAUUUCGGGAUGCCAGUGGUAGUCGCUAACAGCGACGGGGAGCAACGAUGUUGGAGUGUGCGCUAGCGCCUUCAGUAUCGCCAAACCCACGGAGAGUCUUUCGGUGGCGAUCGUCACCGGAGGGGAUCCCGCGCAGAUGGCGUAGGACCGUCUGCGCAUGGACCGCAACAGAAAAUAUACCGCCAGGAAUCCUGCCUCGAAACUUCCUGGUAAGGGCGAAAUCGUGAGGUAAGAGCUCACGCGGGACUGCCCCGAGAGGGGCGCCGUGGCAAACACCUACCCGGUGCAAGGGGAGUACCCCCGCAGGAGCGACGCAGUAAUGCGUCGCCAAGAGAGAUGAUCACUGUAGCGCCGCAAGGCGUGAGACAGAAUUCGGCUUACAGGCCACCGAACCGA
RNAcentral lists this RNase P RNA (464 nucleotides) under bacterium. RNAcentral describes it as "RNase P RNA component class A". It matches the Rfam family "Bacterial RNase P class A". Rfam says of the family: Ribonuclease P (RNase P) is a ubiquitous endoribonuclease, found in archaea, bacteria and eukarya as well as chloroplasts and mitochondria. Its best characterised activity is the generation of mature 5'-ends of tRNAs by cleaving the 5'-leader elements of precursor-tRNAs. The record is from RNAcentral.